CCUACGGGAGACAGCAGUGAGGAAUAUUGGUCAAUGGACGCAAGUCUGAACCAGCCAUGCCGCGUGCAGGAUGACGGCUCUAUGAGUUGUAAACUGCUUUUGUACGAGGGUAAACCCCGAUACGUGUAUCGGGUUGAAAGUAUCGUACGAAUAAGGAUCGGCUAACUCCGUGCCAGCAGCCGCGGUAAUACGGAGGAUGCGAGCGUUAUCCGGAUUUAUUGGGUUAAAAGGGUGCGUAGGCGGGUUAUCAAGUCAGCGGUAAAAUCGUGGAGCUCAACUCCAUCCAGCCGUUGAAACUGAUGAUCGUGAGUGGGCGAGAAGUAUGCGGAAUGCGUGGUGUAGCGGUGAAAUGCAUAGAUAUCACGCAGAACUCCGAUUGCGAAGGCAGCAUACCGGCGCCCGACUGACGCUGAAGCACGAAAGCGUGGGUAUCGAACAGGAUUAGAUACCCCGGUAGUC
Molecule: ribosomal RNA, 459 nt
Filed under: uncultured bacterium
Lineage: Bacteria
Description: partial 16S ribosomal RNA
Rfam family: Bacterial small subunit ribosomal RNA
Source: RNAcentral